AAAUAGAACUUUGCAGAGAGAGUUAAGAGGGCGUGAACCGUUAAUUGGCAAACGAAUCGGAGCCACGAAGUCGUUUCGAUGCUAGUUGGGCCAGGUUCAGUUUGGAACGCAAGUUCCGGGCGUAUUCUUGGUGCAACCAUUGUAAGCGUACACUGCAACCAGUUAGACAAUUGAAGAUGGAAUUAGUUUGUUUAGCUUUCGGGUUAGAUAAGCGCAAAAUUUGUUUACUAGGGUUAGUAGUAGCGGGCAACAGUUUACUGUUGUUUGUUGCUGGGCGCCUAGUAAGUGAACUAUCUUCAAAUACUGACUGGCACAUUGAAAAUCGCCACUGGCGUUUUACACAAUGCUGUCAACUAUAUAGUUGCCUACAUGCUCGACCAUGGGGUUUUAAGCUCGACAUCUUCGAAUUUGGACUGGCCAUCUACUAAAGGGCAACUUUUGGUGUUGGUUUAGCUUCCAUCUAAUCAGGUGUUGACUUGAUCGUAUGUUGUUCAAGUAUGAAACGAUUGGGUAGCUAUAUAAGAUGAUAAGCCAUUGAUUGGCAGUGAGUAGGUCGGCUUUCCGAACGACCCGUCUUGAAACACGGACCAAGGAGUCUAAUUAGGCAUCGAGUCGAUCGGUCUUGAUAGGCCAGACUAGGGAUUUCGUAUCUCUGAUUGAAGGCGUAGAGAAAUCAAAUCAUGUGAUCAUGGGCGACAACAACAGUCCCUAUGCGCAACAUGUGCCUGUUCGUAUAACAAUGUUGCAAAACUUGUUGGGCGGAGCAAAGAGAUACCUGAUUGGUACCCGAAAGAUGGUGAACUAUGCCUGGGCAAGUUGAAGCCAGAGGAAACUCUGGUGGAGGACUGUAGCGAUUCUGACGUGCAAAUCGAUCGUCAGACCUGGGUAUAGGGGCGAAAGACUAAUCGAACCAUC
RNAcentral lists this ribosomal RNA (915 nucleotides) under Calepitrimerus sp. 28sd2-5r109. RNAcentral's name for it is "partial 28S ribosomal RNA". It matches the Rfam family "Eukaryotic large subunit ribosomal RNA", at positions 366 to 944 of the family's 3401-position model. The record is from RNAcentral. Lineage: Eukaryota; Metazoa; Arthropoda; Arachnida; Trombidiformes; Eriophyidae.